UGCAUUACGUGUGACCUGCCCA
This 22-nucleotide microRNA is filed under the name Ornithorhynchus anatinus (platypus). RNAcentral's name for it is "oan-miR-1421r-3p". Lineage: Eukaryota; Metazoa; Chordata; Mammalia; Monotremata; Ornithorhynchidae. The record is from miRBase by way of RNAcentral.